Molecule: long non-coding RNA, 915 nt
Filed under: Equus asinus (donkey)
Lineage: Eukaryota; Metazoa; Chordata; Mammalia; Perissodactyla; Equidae
Description: lncRNA (ENSEASG00005038313.1)
Source: RNAcentral
CCAUUUACCCCCCGUGGCCUCCUGCCCCUAGCCUCCUUACCCCCUCAAUAGGUGGGACAGGAUGGCAAGAGUGGGUUGGAGUUGGAUAUUUCACUUCCCUCAAGUCAGUUAGGCUCUGAUAAACUCCCAGCAGGUUAGGGUCUGGUUAGUUUCUCCUGAAGGCAGGUCUUUGUUAAGACCAGAAUCCUCUACCAUAUUUCACAAUGGUUCCUUUCCCCUUCCCCCUACUGGAAUCAGGAGGAAGUUUUCCUUUAAUAUUCACUGUGAAAAACUGGUAGAUCUUCAGAAGGUAAAACACUAAAGUGUGAAGACCCCUGAUGACCAGGUCCCCUUGGAGUUUUUCUCUCAGACUUGUCCACAGUUAACCUCUAGCAAUUCAUCAAUUAUAGUUCAGGCUUUUCUACCCUGCACUGGUUCCCAUGGAGGUUUUUGCUUAUGGAUUUCUACUCUGGUAAAAGAAAAUGGAAGGAAGUUAGAAUAUAAUCUGAGAGCUUUGAAAAGUGUUGCAUUGUACAGAUCCAGAAAAAGUCAAUCAUGUCUUGUAGACUUCUGUCCACGUCUCUAGAACAGUCGACGCAUUAAACAAAAAGUAUUGAAGGUAGCUGGCCUAAAUACACACAGGCAAUAAGAAAAAAAGAUCUCAUCAAAAAUUGGUGGAAGAGGAAAUAAAUAUAAAGGAAAAGUGAGCGUAGAAAAGUUGCUUCCAGUAUACUCAAGUGUUUCCCAAGCCCACAGACAUGGCUGUGCUCUACUGCCCACUCCGUCCUCCUCAGAGAUGUCUUUCCCAGGGCCUCUCUUUCUAGCUCCAAUCUGACCUGGGUCAUCCUCCUGCUCAGCUGUUAUCCCGGGAUUUUGCUUCGCUGCUGUCUUGGGUUGGAGACAUUGUUUCCUGGAUCUCAUGCACUUUUGUUUAUG